RNAcentral lists this ribosomal RNA (206 nucleotides) under uncultured bacterium. RNAcentral's name for it is "partial 16S ribosomal RNA". It matches the Rfam family "Bacterial small subunit ribosomal RNA", at positions 326 to 538 of the family's 1533-position model. The record is from RNAcentral.
ACGCUCGACACCUACGGGAAGCAGCAGUGGGGAAUAUUGGGCAAUGGGCGCAAGCCUGACCCAGCAACGCCGCGUGAAGGAUGAAGGCUUUCGGGUUGUAAACUUCUUUUAUUCGGGACGAAGAAAAUGACGGUACCGAAUGAAUAAGCCACGGCUAACUACGUGCCAGCACGCCGGCGGUAAUCUGAGGCGGGCUGGACGAAGGC